RNAcentral lists this ribosomal RNA (2900 nucleotides) under Klebsiella pneumoniae. RNAcentral's name for it is "bacterial LSU rRNA". It matches the Rfam family "Bacterial large subunit ribosomal RNA". The record is from RNAcentral. Lineage: Bacteria; Pseudomonadati; Pseudomonadota; Gammaproteobacteria; Enterobacterales; Enterobacteriaceae.
UUAAGCGACUAAGCGUACACGGUGGAUGCCCUGGCAGUCAGAGGCGAUGAAGGACGUGCUAAUCUGCGAAAAGCGUCGGUAAGGUGAUAUGAACCGUUAUAACCGGCGAUGUCCGAAUGGGGAAACCCAGUGCAAUUCGUUGCACUAUCGUUAACUGAAUACAUAGGUUAACGAGGCGAACCGGGGGAACUGAAACAUCUAAGUACCCCGAGGAAAAGAAAUCAACCGAGAUUCCCCCAGUAGCGGCGAGCGAACGGGGAGCAGCCCAGAGUCUGAAUCAGCUUGUGUGUUAGUGGAACGGUCUGGAAAGUCCGACGGUACAGGGUGAUAGUCCCGUACACCAAAAUGCACAGGCUGUGAACUCGAAGAGUAGGGCGGGACACGUGGUAUCCUGUCUGAAUAUGGGGGGACCAUCCUCCAAGGCUAAAUACUCCUGACUGACCGAUAGUGAACCAGUACCGUGAGGGAAAGGCGAAAAGAACCCCGGCGAGGGGAGUGAAAAAGAACCUGAAACCGUGUACGUACAAGCAGUGGGAGCACCUUCGGGUGUGACUGCGUACCUUUUGUAUAAUGGGUCAGCGACUUAUAUUCUGUAGCAAGGUUAACCGUAUAGGGGAGCCGCAGGGAAACCGAGUCUUAACUGGGCGUUAAGUUGCAGGGUAUAGACCCGAAACCCGGUGAUCUAGCCAUGGGCAGGUUGAAGGUUGGGUAACACUAACUGGAGGACCGAACCGACUAAUGUUGAAAAAUUAGCGGAUGACUUGUGGCUGGGGGUGAAAGGCCAAUCAAACCGGGAGAUAGCUGGUUCUCCCCGAAAGCUAUUUAGGUAGCGCCUCGUGAACUCAUCUUCGGGGGUAGAGCACUGUUUCGGCUAGGGGGUCAUCCCGACUUACCAACCCGAUGCAAACUACGAAUACCGAAGAAUGUUAUCACGGGAGACACACGGCGGGUGCUAACGUCCGUCGUGAAGAGGGAAACAACCCAGACCGCCAGCUAAGGUCCCAAAGUCAUGGUUAAGUGGGAAACGAUGUGGGAAGGCACAGACAGCCAGGAUGUUGGCUUAGAAGCAGCCAUCAUUUAAAGAAAGCGUAAUAGCUCACUGGUCGAGUCGGCCUGCGCGGAAGAUGUAACGGGGCUAAACCAUGCACCGAAGCUGCGGCAGCGACACUAUGUGUUGUUGGGUAGGGGAGCGUUCUGUAAGCCUGCGAAGGUGACCUGUGAGGGUUGCUGGAGGUAUCAGAAGUGCGAAUGCUGACAUAAGUAACGAUAAAGCGGGUGAAAAGCCCGCUCGCCGGAAGACCAAGGGUUCCUGUCCAACGUUAAUCGGGGCAGGGUGAGUCGACCCCUAAGGCGAGGCCGAAAGGCGUAGUCGAUGGGAAACAGGUUAAUAUUCCUGUACUUGGUGUUACUGCGAAGGGGGGACGGAGAAGGCUAUGUUAGCCGGGCGACGGUUGUCCCGGUUUAAGCAUGUAGGCUGGUUGUCCAGGCAAAUCCGGAUAAUCAAGGCUGAGGUGUGAUGACGAGGCACUACGGUGCUGAAGUAACAAAUGCCCUGCUUCCAGGAAAAGCCUCUAAGCAUCAGGUAACAUUAAAUCGUACCCCAAACCGACACAGGUGGUCAGGUAGAGAAUACCAAGGCGCUUGAGAGAACUCGGGUGAAGGAACUAGGCAAAAUGGUGCCGUAACUUCGGGAGAAGGCACGCUGGUGUGUAGGUGAAGUCCCUGCGGAUGGAGCUGAGACCAGUCGAAGAUACCAGCUGGCUGCAACUGUUUAUUAAAAACACAGCACUGUGCAAACACGAAAGUGGACGUAUACGGUGUGACGCCUGCCCGGUGCCGGAAGGUUAAUUGAUGGGGUUAUCCGUAAGGAGAAGCUCUUGAUCGAAGCCCCGGUAAACGGCGGCCGUAACUAUAACGGUCCUAAGGUAGCGAAAUUCCUUGUCGGGUAAGUUCCGACCUGCACGAAUGGCGUAAUGAUGGCCAGGCUGUCUCCACCCGAGACUCAGUGAAAUUGAACUCGCUGUGAAGAUGCAGUGUACCCGCGGCAAGACGGAAAGACCCCGUGAACCUUUACUAUAGCUUGACACUGAACAUUGAGCCUUGAUGUGUAGGAUAGGUGGGAGGCUUUGAAGCGUGGACGCCAGUCUGCGUGGAGCCAACCUUGAAAUACCACCCUUUAAUGUUUGAUGUUCUAACGUUGGCCCCUUAUCGGGGUUGCGGACAGUGUCUGGUGGGUAGUUUGACUGGGGCGGUCUCCUCCCAAAGCGUAACGGAGGAGCACGAAGGUUAGCUAAUCCUGGUCGGACAUCAGGAGGUUAGUGCAAUGGCAUAAGCUAGCUUGACUGCGAGCGUGACGGCGCGAGCAGGUGCGAAAGCAGGUCAUAGUGAUCCGGUGGUUCUGAAUGGAAGGGCCAUCGCUCAACGGAUAAAAGGUACUCCGGGGAUAACAGGCUGAUACCGCCCAAGAGUUCAUAUCGACGGCGGUGUUUGGCACCUCGAUGUCGGCUCAUCACAUCCUGGGGCUGAAGUAGGUCCCAAGGGUAUGGCUGUUCGCCAUUUAAAGUGGUACGCGAGCUGGGUUUAGAACGUCGUGAGACAGUUCGGUCCCUAUCUGCCGUGGGCGCUGGAGAAUUGAGGGGGGCUGCUCCUAGUACGAGAGGACCGGAGUGGACGCAUCACUGGUGUUCGGGUUGUCAUGCCAAUGGCACUGCCCGGUAGCUAAAUGCGGAAGAGAUAAGUGCUGAAAGCAUCUAAGCACGAAACUUGCCCCGAGAUGAGUUCUCCCUGAGACUUUAAGUCUCCUGAAGGAACGUUGAAGACGACGACGUUGAUAGGCCGGGUGUGUAAGCGCAGCGAUGCGUUGAGCUAACCGGUACUAAUGAACCGUGAGGCUUAACCUU